AGUCGAACGAGAAAACUGAAUAGCUUGCUAAUUGGUUUUCUAGUGGCGGACGGGUUAGUAACACGUGAGCAACCUGCCUCGAAGCGGGGGAUAGCCUUUCGAAAGAGAGAUUAAUACCGCAUGUGACCUACGGGUUAAAGGUGCCUUCGGGUGCCGUUUCGAGAUGGGCUCGCGGCCUAUCAGCUUGUUGGUGAGGUAACGGCUCACCAAGGCGACGACGGGUAGCUGGUCUGAGAGGACGAUCAGCAACACUGGAACUGAGACACGGUCCAGACACCUACGGGUGGCAGCAGUCGAGAAUCAUUCACAAUGGGGGCAACCCUGAUGGUGCAACGCCGCGUGGAGGAUGAAGGCCCUAGGGUCGUAAACUCCUGUCAUAUGAGAGUAAGGCAUAUGUGUUAAUAGCAUGUAUGUUUGAUAGUAUCAUAAGAGGAAGGGACGGCUAACUUCGUGCCAGCAGCCGCGGUAAUACGAAGGUCCCGAGCGUUAUUCGGAAUCACUGGGCGUAAAGAGUACGUAGGCGGUUUGGUAAGUCAGGUGUGAAAUCCCGGGGCUCAACCCCGGAACUGCAUCCGAUACUGCCAGACUGGAGUAAUGGAGAGGCAGGUGGAAUUCUCGGUGUAGCAGUGAAAUGCGUGGA
RNAcentral lists this ribosomal RNA (640 nucleotides) under uncultured bacterium. RNAcentral's name for it is "bacterial SSU rRNA". It matches the Rfam family "Bacterial small subunit ribosomal RNA", at positions 60 to 694 of the family's 1533-position model. The record is from RNAcentral.